UACGUAGGGCGCGAGCGUUGUCCGGAAUUAUUGGGCGUAAAGAGCUCGUAGGCGGCCUGUUGCGUCCGCUGUGAAAUCCCGGGGCUUAACCCCGGGCGUGCAGUGGAUACGGGCAGGCUGGUGGCAGGCAGGGGAGAACGGAAUUCCCGGUGUAGCGGUGAAAUGCGCAGAUAUCGGGAGGAACACCGGUGGCGAAGGCGGUUCUCUGGGCCUGUACUGACGCUGAGGAGCGAAAGCGUGGGGAGCGAACAGG
This 253-nucleotide ribosomal RNA is filed under the name uncultured bacterium. RNAcentral's name for it is "partial 16S ribosomal RNA". It matches the Rfam family "Bacterial small subunit ribosomal RNA", at positions 524 to 776 of the family's 1533-position model. The record is from RNAcentral.